GCGAGGAAUUCCCGCUUCGCUUGCCGCUUGUUUUGUCUCUUUAAAUGAUUCCAUCGAAACGGGUUUCAUUGGGGUCUAGUAACAGAGUCAGGCAGCGGGCGAUUCCCUACGGGGUCUUGAUACUCAAAGCGUCCCCCCCCCUUUUUUUUAAAGUCAGGAAGCAAAGGUUAGAGCGGACGGAAGAACACGACCCCCAAUGAGUGCACCUAGAGGAGCAGUAGGCAAAAUUAGGUGCUGUUUGGGAAAGUUAAUUCUUCGCUGCCGAAGGGAAGGCUCUAGGAGGAGGGGGGGGAUUUCAGAAAAGCAAAGCAAUUGUUCAGCGCCAGGAAAGCUAAUUAAAUAACUCUCUUCAGAGGUGGAAUGGAAGUUAGAAAGAUGCGCGUCCCGGAGGGUCAAGACGGAUGAAGACGUGUUGUGGCUAAAUCUCAGCCCUGUCCGCUCAGCGGCUUGGUCGUCUUUUUUAAAAAGCAAUUCAACCGCUUAUUGCUGGCUGGAGUGACAGUAUACGGAACCAUCGCCGCCCACUAUUUAGAUCUUACACCUAUUUACGCAGAAGUAAUUUUCCUUUAGUAUAACGUAGUAACUACGUCGUAGUUAGUUACAAUUUGGAUUAGAAAUACAAAAAGCCAAUGACACUUCCGCUGGUUGAGGGAAAAAAAUCGUGAGAGCACUUGGGAACAAUCUCCGGACAGACCAGAAAACAAAGUUUGCAAAAACUUACUAAGGGCAGAGAGAGAAUGACUGGACCAAGGGUACCCAGCUGACUUCAUGUCCAAGGCCUCAAGUAUUUCACGACUUUACCUUCAGGACUGAUGAGAUAUUUCCAGAAAUUCCACCUAGGUUCCAUUUUAGAAGCAUCUGCAGGAAUAACAUACGAUAUUCCUAACGUGCUACUAUUAUGCAGAAAGAAUACAGCGGCAAGUCUGCCUGACCAUCUAAAAAAAAUGAAAUUACUUACUUUGCCUCGACAUCUCUCCAAGGACAUGGUUCUUCCUUUCCAAUCCUUCACUUCA
Long non-coding RNA from Crotalus tigris (Tiger rattlesnake), 1013 nucleotides. RefSeq lists it as uncharacterized. Lineage: Eukaryota; Metazoa; Chordata; Lepidosauria; Squamata; Viperidae. The transcript is spliced from 5 exons. The record is from RefSeq and is a predicted model, not a curated record.